GUGAGUGAGUAAGAGAGUGAGUGUGUGAGUGAGUGUGAGUGAGUGAGUGUAGAGUGAGUGUGUGAGUGAGUGUGAGUGAGUGAGUGUAGAGUGAGUGUGUGAGUGAGUGUGUGAGUGAGUGUGUGAGUGAGUGUGUGAGUGAGUGUGUGAGUG
Molecule: long non-coding RNA, 153 nt
Organism: Lethenteron reissneri (Far Eastern brook lamprey)
Lineage: Eukaryota; Metazoa; Chordata; Hyperoartia; Petromyzontiformes; Petromyzontidae
Source: RefSeq, a predicted model, not a curated record